UUUCAUCACCUGUAUCAAAAGGCACCACCAAUUGAAACAUAAUGGGAUUAAACCCAUUAACAGUGACAUAGAUACUACAAGUAUCUUCAUCAAUCUCUCGGAUUAUACCCAACUUCUUCCCAAUAGCUUGUAAAGUUGCUUCUUCCCACAGAUGCAUCGGAAUCCCAGAAGCUUUAACCCAAAUAUUAAUAGAUGAUGGGUAAGUACUAGAUGUAAUAGGCUCCCAAUGAACCAAUGAUAUCAUCCAUCCAUCAAAAUGAUACGUCACAUUCUGCAA
RNAcentral lists this long non-coding RNA (277 nucleotides) under Capsella rubella. RNAcentral's name for it is "long non-coding RNA (CRUB_LNC001577)". The record is from RNAcentral. Lineage: Eukaryota; Viridiplantae; Streptophyta; Magnoliopsida; Brassicales; Brassicaceae.